This 465-nucleotide ribosomal RNA is filed under the name uncultured bacterium. RNAcentral's name for it is "partial 16S ribosomal RNA". It matches the Rfam family "Bacterial small subunit ribosomal RNA", at positions 28 to 507 of the family's 1533-position model. The record is from RNAcentral.
GACGAACGCUGGCGGCGUGCUUAACACAUGCAAGUCGAACGGAAAGGCCCCUUCGGGGGUACUCGAGUGGCGCACGGGUGAGUAACACGUGAGUAACCUGCCCUUGACUUCGGGAUAACUUCAGGAAACUGGGGCUAAUACCGGAUAGGAAUCCUUGCUGCAUGGUGGGGGUUGGAAAGCUUCGGCGGUUUUGGAUGGACUCGCGGCUUAUCAGCUUGUUGGUGGGGUAGUGGCUUACCAAGGCUUUGACGGGUAGCCGGCCUGAGAGGGCGACCGGCCACAUUGGGACUGAGAUACGGCCCAGACUCCUACGGGAGGCAGCAGUGGGGAAUAUUGCACAAUGGGCGGAAGCCUGAUGCAGCAACGCCGCGUGCGGGAUGACGGCCUUCGGGUUGUAAACCGCUUUCAGCAGGGGCGAAGCUUGUGGUGACGGUACCUGCAGAAGAAGCACCGGCUAACUACGUG